Molecule: ribosomal RNA, 465 nt
Filed under: Vreelandella stevensii
Lineage: Bacteria; Pseudomonadati; Pseudomonadota; Gammaproteobacteria; Oceanospirillales; Halomonadaceae
Description: partial 16S ribosomal RNA
Rfam family: Bacterial small subunit ribosomal RNA
Source: RNAcentral
CCUACGGGUGGCUGCAGUGGGGAAUAUUGGACAAUGGGCGAAAGCCUGAUCCAGCCAUGCCGCGUGUGUGAAGAAGGCCUUCGGGUUGUAAAGCACUUUCAGUGGGGAAGAAAGCCUUGGGGCUAAUACCCUCGAGGAAGGACAUCACCCACAGAAGAAGCACCGGCUAACUCCGUGCCAGCAGCCGCGGUAAUACGGAGGGUGCGAGCGUUAAUCGGAAUUACUGGGCGUAAAGCGCGCGUAGGCGGUCUGAUAAGCCGGUUGUGAAAGCCCCGGGCUCAACCUGGGAACGACAUCCGGAACUGUCAGGCUAGAGUGCAGGAGAGGAAGGUAGAAUUCCCGGUGUAGCGGUGAAAUGCGUAGAGAUCGGGAGGAAUACCAGUGGCGAAGGCGGCCUUCUGGACUGACACUGACGCUGAGGUGCGAAAGCGUGGGUAGCAAACAGGAUUAGAUACCCGGGUAGUC